RNAcentral lists this ribosomal RNA (253 nucleotides) under uncultured bacterium. Its description in RNAcentral is "partial 16S ribosomal RNA". It matches the Rfam family "Bacterial small subunit ribosomal RNA", at positions 524 to 776 of the family's 1533-position model. The record is from RNAcentral.
UACGGGGGGGGCAAGCGUUGUUCGGAAUUACUGGGCGUAAAGGGCUCGUAGGUGGCCAACUAAGUCGGACGUGAAAUCCCUCAGCUUAACUGGGGAACUGCGUCCGAUACUGGAUGGCUUGAGUUUGGGAGAGGGAUGCGGAAUUCCAGGUGGAGCGGUGAAAUGCGUUGAUAUCGAUAGGAACUCCGGUGGCGAAGGCGGCAUACUGGACCACAUCUGACGCUGAGGCGCGAAAGCCAGGGGAGCGAACGGG